CUUUUACUCUCCUCUGAGGAUCUGUGUUUCCUCAGAGUGCGAACUCUCUGCCUCCCCAGCUAGUGGAGGUGUCUGGAGGCCCAGCUUUGCAGGCCUGGGCCCCUGCUGGCCUUGGGAAUUUCAAAGAGCAGGGAGGGAUGGGUGGGCACACUGGCUCCGAUCUGGAGCCAGGGGCUAUUUGUUCCUCUAAGGCCCUGGGACAGUAGCUGCGGGGAAAGGAAAGCAGCAGUCCACCUGCCCUGGAAGGGGAGGGUCCCGGAUGUGCUUGCUGGUACUGGAGUUGACUAGUUUGAUGCCUGACCCAUUUUUAGAUUUGUUAUUUUGGUAGUCUCCUAACGAUGUGGGCUUUAAAAAUGGUGUUCCCAGCUUGGGCAAUAAACAUGUGUAUUUGGA
This 393-nucleotide non-coding RNA is filed under the name Pongo abelii (Sumatran orangutan). The record is from RNAcentral. Lineage: Eukaryota; Metazoa; Chordata; Mammalia; Primates; Hominidae.